AUUUUUGUUUUCUAGGGUUCCGCGAUAAAAUUAUCGGACUGGUCCAAGAGAAAACACACAGCCUAGCUGUGACACGGAGGGACAAAAGCCCGGGAGAU
This 98-nucleotide small RNA is filed under the name Desulforamulus ruminis. RNAcentral's name for it is "Desulfotomaculum ruminis Guanidine-I sequence". It matches the Rfam family "Guanidine-I riboswitch aptamer". Rfam says of the family: This family represents a conserved RNA structure found upstream of the ykkC and yxkD genes in Bacillus subtilis and related genes in other bacteria. The function of this family is unclear although it has been suggested that it may function to switch on efflux pumps and detoxification systems in response to harmful environmental molecules. RNAcentral also lists the same sequence under 1 other name. Lineage: Bacteria; Bacillati; Bacillota; Clostridia; Eubacteriales; Peptococcaceae. The record is from RNAcentral.